GAUGAACGCUGGCGGCGUGCCUAAUACAUGCCAGUCGAGCGGACGGACGAGGAGCUUGCUUCUCUGAUGUUAGCGGCGGACGGGUGAGUAACACGUGUAUACCCUACCUAUAAGACUGGGAUCACUUCGGGAAACCGGAGCUAAUACCGGAUAAUAUUUUGAACCGCAUGGUUCAAAGGUGAAAGACGGUCUUGCUGUCACUACUAGAUGGAUCCGCGCUGGGUUGGCUAGUUGGUAAGGUAACGGCUUACCAAGGCUACGAUGCAUAGCCGACCUGAGAGGGUGAUCGGCCACACUGGAACUGAGACACGGUCCAGACUCCUACGGGAGGCAGCAGUAGGGAAUCUUCGGCAAUGGGCGAAAGCCUGACGGAGCAACGCCGCGUGAGUGAUGAAGGUCUUCGGAUCGUAAAACUCUGUUAUUAGGGAAGAACAUAUGUGUAAGGAACUGUGGACAUCUUGACGGUACCUAAUCAGAAAGCCACGGCUAACUACGUG
Molecule: ribosomal RNA, 497 nt
Filed under: uncultured bacterium
Lineage: Bacteria
Description: partial 16S ribosomal RNA
Rfam family: Bacterial small subunit ribosomal RNA
Source: RNAcentral